UACGUAGGGGGCAAGCGUUGUCCGGAAUCAUUGGGCGUAAAGAGCGUGUAGGCGGUUCGGUAAGUCCGCUGUGAAAGUCCAGGGCUCAACCCUGGAAUGCCGGUGGAUACUGCCGGGCUAGAGUCCGGAAGAGGCGAGUGGAAUUCCUGGUGUAGCGGUGAAAUGCGCAGAUAUCAGGAGGAACACCGAUGGCGAAGGCAACUCGCUGGGACGGUACUGACGCUGAGACGCGAAAGCGUGGGGAGCAAACAGG
Molecule: ribosomal RNA, 253 nt
Filed under: uncultured bacterium
Lineage: Bacteria
Description: partial 16S ribosomal RNA
Rfam family: Bacterial small subunit ribosomal RNA
Source: RNAcentral